RNAcentral lists this small nucleolar RNA (79 nucleotides) under Mus musculus (house mouse). RNAcentral describes it as "predicted gene, 25934 (ENSMUSG00000118846.1)". It matches the Rfam family "Small nucleolar RNA SNORD115". From Rfam's summary of the family: HBII-52 is a member of the C/D class of snoRNAs, which contain the C (UGAUGA) and D (CUGA) box motifs. The record is from Rfam by way of RNAcentral. Lineage: Eukaryota; Metazoa; Chordata; Mammalia; Rodentia; Muridae.
GGGUCAAUGAUGACAAACUGAUGUCAUGAAGAAAUGUGAUGACAUAAAAUUUAUGCUCAAUAGGAUUACGCUGAGGCCC